UAUCGAGGAACGCGGACUAAGUACGCCGCGUCCUGCGGCAACGCCCUCAAGCACAAGACGC
Molecule: small RNA, 61 nt
Filed under: Bacillus infantis NRRL B-14911
Lineage: Bacteria; Bacillati; Bacillota; Bacilli; Caryophanales; Bacillaceae
Description: Bacillaceae-1 RNA
Rfam family: Bacillaceae-1 RNA
Source: Rfam by way of RNAcentral